This 461-nucleotide ribosomal RNA is filed under the name uncultured Methanolinea sp. RNAcentral describes it as "bacterial SSU rRNA". It matches the Rfam family "Archaeal small subunit ribosomal RNA", at positions 878 to 1338 of the family's 1478-position model. Lineage: Archaea; Methanobacteriati; Methanobacteriota; Methanomicrobia; Methanomicrobiales; Methanoregulaceae. The record is from RNAcentral.
ACCACAACGGGUGGAGCCUGCGGUUUAAUUGGACUCAACGCCGGGCAGCUCACCGGAUAAGACAGCUGGAUGAUAGCCGGGCUGAAGACUCUGCUUGACUAGCUGAGAGGAGGUGCAUGGCCGUCGUCAGUUCGUACUGUGAAGCAUCCUGUUAAGUCAGGCAACGAGCGAGACCCACGCCAACAGUUGCCAGCAUGUCCUCCGGGAUGAUGGGGACACUGUUGGGACCGCCUCUGCUAAAGAGGAGGAAGGAAUGGGCAACGGUAGGUCAGCAUGCCCCGAAUUAUCCGGGCUACACGCGGGCUACAAUGGUCAGGACAAUGGGUAUCGACACCGAGAGGUGGAGGCAAUCUCCUAAACCUGUCCUUAGCUCGGAUUGUGGGCUGCAACUCGCCCACAUGAAGCUGGAAUCCGUAGUAAUCGCGUUUCAAAAUAGCGCGGUGAAUAUGUCCCUGCUCCUU